UUGAGCUUGAUCCUGGCUCAGAUUGAACGCUGGCGGCAGGCCUAACACAUGCAAGUCGAGCGGUAGAGAGAAGCUUGCUUCUCUUGAGAGCGGCGGACGGGUGAGUAAUGCCUAGGAAUCUGCCUGGUAGUGGGGGAUAACGUUCGGAAACGGACGCUAAUACCGCAUACGUCCUACGGGAGAAAGCAGGGGACCUUCGGGCCUUGCGCUAUCAGAUGAGCCUAGGUCGGAUUAGCUAGUUGGUGAGGUAAUGGCUCACCAAGGCGACGAUCCGUAACUGGUCUGAGAGGAUGAUCAGUCACACUGGAACUGAGACACGGUCCAGACUCCUACGGGAGGCAGCAGUGGGGAAUAUUGGACAAUGGGCGAAAGCCUGAUCCAGCCAUGCCGCGUGUGUGAAGAAGGUCUUCGGAUUGUAAAGCACUUUAAGUUGGGA
RNAcentral lists this ribosomal RNA (436 nucleotides) under Pseudomonas sp. CL1.140. Its description in RNAcentral is "bacterial SSU rRNA". It matches the Rfam family "Bacterial small subunit ribosomal RNA", at positions 1 to 445 of the family's 1533-position model. The record is from RNAcentral. Lineage: Bacteria; Pseudomonadati; Pseudomonadota; Gammaproteobacteria; Pseudomonadales; Pseudomonadaceae.